RNAcentral lists this transfer RNA (73 nucleotides) under Marixanthomonas ophiurae. RNAcentral's name for it is "tRNA-Ser". It matches the Rfam family "tRNA". Rfam says of the family: Transfer RNA (tRNA) molecules are approximately 80 nucleotides in length. Their secondary structure includes four short double-helical elements and three loops (D, anti-codon, and T loops). Further hydrogen bonds mediate the characteristic L-shaped molecular structure. tRNAs have two regions of fundamental functional importance: the anti-codon, which is responsible for specific mRNA codon recognition, and the 3' end, to which the tRNAs corresponding amino acid is attached (by aminoacyl-tRNA synthetases). tRNAs cope with the degeneracy of the genetic code in two manners: having more than one tRNA (with a specific anti-codon) for a particular amino acid; and 'wobble' base-pairing, i.e. permitting non-standard base-pairing at the 3rd anti-codon position. Lineage: Bacteria; Pseudomonadati; Bacteroidota; Flavobacteriia; Flavobacteriales; Flavobacteriaceae. The record is from RNAcentral. RNAcentral also lists the same sequence under 1 other name.
GUCCAAGUAGCUCAGUGGAUAGAGCUCCUCCCUGCUAAGGAGGUGGUCGCGGGUUCGAGUCCCGCCUUGAAAA